Pelobates cultripes (western spadefoot toad) is the source of this 560-nucleotide non-coding RNA. Lineage: Eukaryota; Metazoa; Chordata; Amphibia; Anura; Pelobatidae. The record is from the annotation of a GenBank genome assembly.
GAGAGAGAGAGAGAGAGAGAGAGAGAGAGAGAGAGAGAGAGAGCACUGUGCACAGAGAUUGAUGUCAGGCUCUGCUACUAUUCUCUUUAAUCUACAUAUACAGUGUUUGAAACAAAUGUUUAGCAGGGACGUUUUUAAAUAAUCUCAUAUGUGAUUGUUCUUUGUUUUUUUUUUGUUUUUUAUCUACUUCACAAGCUUCCAGUAAGUGUAAAUUCCGUUACUGUAUAAAGAUGCACAGUGAAUAAUAUUGUAUGGAUGUUUACAUAUUAAAUAUGAUAGAUGUGUGUACUAUAUGUAUGCGUUUGGAUAUAUAGAGUGAGAUGGGUGGAUGGAUUAAUGGAUGGGUUUAUUUUUAUGUGCAAAGAAAACAAGUGUGUGUGUGUGUGGGUGUGAGAGAGUCAGUGUGUGUCUGUGUCUCUGCUGUGUGACUCAUUUCAGGUAAGUUUAGGAAUAUAAAGCAAAGCAACAUAGUGGUGAAUUAAAAUUAAAACCGAUAAUGCAGUAAAAUAUAGUCUAAAAUUCAUCUGUUUAGUAAAUAAGACCCUCAUUCAGAAUUUCCC